UGUGAGUGAAGAAGGUUUUUAAUGAAUUCCUGGGCUGGUGAACUGAAGAGACCAUGACUCAUUAGCCAGUGCUGGCUAAUGCAAAGUGAGUUCAGAGAAAGGCUGGUUGCCACAAGCUAAAAUUGCACUUGUUGCUGUCCUGAUCUAUGUACAACUCUGAUACCCUGUGA
Long non-coding RNA from Neopelma chrysocephalum (saffron-crested tyrant-manakin), 170 nucleotides. RefSeq lists it as uncharacterized. The transcript is spliced from 3 exons. Lineage: Eukaryota; Metazoa; Chordata; Aves; Passeriformes; Pipridae. The record is from RefSeq and is a predicted model, not a curated record.